UACGGAGGUGGCAAGCGUUGUUCGGAAUUACUGGGCGUAAAGGGCGCGUAGGCGGCAUGGCAAGUCAGGUGUGAAAGCCCCGGGCUUAACUCGGGAACUGCAUCUGAAACUGCUGUGCUUGAGUCCUGGAGGGGGUAGUGGAAUUCCCAGUGUAGCGGUGAAAUGCGUAGAUAUUGGGAGGAACACCGGUGGCGAAGGCGGCUACCUGGACAGUGACUGACGCUGAGGCGCGAAAGCUAGGGGAGCGAACGGG
RNAcentral lists this ribosomal RNA (253 nucleotides) under uncultured bacterium. RNAcentral describes it as "partial 16S ribosomal RNA". It matches the Rfam family "Bacterial small subunit ribosomal RNA", at positions 524 to 776 of the family's 1533-position model. The record is from RNAcentral.